Molecule: long non-coding RNA, 403 nt
Organism: Anarrhichthys ocellatus (wolf-eel)
Lineage: Eukaryota; Metazoa; Chordata; Actinopteri; Perciformes; Anarhichadidae
Exons: 3
Source: RefSeq, a predicted model, not a curated record
AAGUGUUUUCUUUGUGUGCAGAGACCUCCAGCUGGACGAGUAUGUGGAUCUGUACUGGAGAGACUACCCGUCAUUGAUCCGUGGCUUCACUGAGAGCUGCGUCAUAGACCAGACUCUGAUUGGUCAGAUGCAGCGUCCGUCCUUCCUGAGGGCGGAGCCUCCCUGUGUGCUCAGCUGGCUCAGCGGCUGCCUGAGAGGAGAGGAGAGCCCGCCUUUCCCCUGCCUGCCCGGCAUCUGUACGAGGACCAGGCUGCUGGUUCUGAGUUUUGCUCUCUACAUCGUCGGAGAUGAAAACGCAACUUCAACAUCAGUAUCAAAGUACCUGGUGAAGCUCUCUGCAGGUGUGUGUGUGUGUGUGUGUGUGUGUGUGUGUGUGUGUGUGUGUGUGUGUGUGUGUGUGUGU